CGGACGGGUGAGUAACGCGUGAGAAUCUGCCCUCAGGAGGGGGAUAACGGUUGGAAACGACCGCUAAUACCCCAUAUGCCUACUGGUGAAAUGAAUUUCGCCUGAGGAUGAGCUCGCGUCUGAUUAGCUAGUUGGUGUGGUAAUGGCUCACCAAGGCUUCGAUCAGUAGCUGGUCUGAGAGGAUGAUCAGCCACACUGGGACUGAGACACGGCCCAGACUCCUACGGGAGGCAGCAGUGGGGAAUUUUCCGCAAUGGGCGAAAGCCUGACGGAGCAACGCCGCGUGAGGGACGAAGGCCUCUGGGCUGUAAACCUCUUUUCUCAAGGAAGAAGAUAUGACGGUACUUGAGGAAUAAGCCACGGCUAAUUCCGUGCCAGCAGCCGCGGUAAUACGGGAGUGGCAAGCGUUAUCCGGAAUUAUUGGGCGUAAAGCGUCCGCAGGCGGCUUUUCAAGUCUGCUGUUAAAGCGUGGAGCUUAUCUCCAUUAUGGCAGUGGAAACUGAAAGGCUUGAGUAUGGUAGGGGCAGAGGGAAUUCCCGGUGUAGCGGUGAAAUGCGUAGAUAUCGGGAAGAACACCAGUGGCGAAGGCGCUCUGCUGGGCCAUUACUGACGCUCAUGGACGAAAGCCAGGGGAGCGAAAGGGAUUAGAUACCCCAGUAGUC
Molecule: ribosomal RNA, 662 nt
Filed under: uncultured marine microorganism
Description: bacterial SSU rRNA
Rfam family: Bacterial small subunit ribosomal RNA
Source: RNAcentral